GAUGAAGAACGUAGCGAAAUGCGAUAACUAAUGUGAAUUGCAGAAUUCCGUGAAUCAUCGAGUCUUUGAACGCACAUUGCGCCCCCUGGUAUUCCGGGGGGCAUGCCUGUCCGAGCGUCAUUGCUGCCCUCAAGCACGGCUUGUGUGUUGGGCCUCCGCCCCCCGGCUCCCGGGGGGCGGGCCCGAAAGGCAGCGGCGGCACCGCGUCCGGUCCUCGAGCGUAUGGGGCUUCGUCACCCGCUCCGUAGGCCCGGCCGGCGCCCGCCGGCGACCCCCCUCAAUCUUUCCAGGUUGACCUCGGAUCAGGUAGGGAUACCCGCUGAACUUAAGCAUAUCAAUAAGCGGAGGA
Molecule: unclassified non-coding RNA, 349 nt
Filed under: soil metagenome
Description: partial contains 5.8S ribosomal RNA, internal transcribed spacer 2, and large subunit ribosomal RNA
Rfam family: 5.8S ribosomal RNA (bases 1-120)
Source: RNAcentral